ACUGCACUUCCAAAAACAUACUCGGGAUGCCCUGCACGUCCGAAUUUAAAUAUAAGGAAACCUAAUACAGCUUCUACCGUCUUACGUCGAUGUCGGAGGUAUUCCCCCUGUUCCGUAGAGACGCGAUGCAGACAGUUAAUGUGACGUCACGAAUCGAUACACCAUCCGGGUCACCAGCGCGAGGUGGAAGACUCCAAGUUUCCGUUAUUGCAGGAACAAUCCGUCGCCGGCGGAAGAUUUCUGUUUGGAUAUCGCAUAGAAGGAAAAGAAAAGAGGGAUUAUCCGUAGGAAGACGUUGGCGUAACUAACUGAAAUGUGUGUCUGACUCACUUCUGUACGUCCUCCUCCACCCACGACUCAGGAAUGCCCGAAGUUCUCACGUGCUGCAUCAGGUGCUUGUGACUGGGCUGUCGAAGUCAGGUACCUGAAGUAGUGCGCGGAGAAAUUCGGGUCUGUGACCACCACUCCGCUCUUCCAGAUUCAAGUCGACGUCCGGGGGUGGCUUUUAAGAAGUCAUCCAACGAAUGGCCGUCUCAUCAGUUCCUCUCCAUUUUGGUAGAAGGUAUUCCAUUUUAAAAGGCGAGAACGCUAUGCCAAGAAGUCUUCUCUUUAAUCAUUUGGAUGGAGCUUUAAAGACCCAUUAACAUUGAAGGACACUUAUUAACCUCUCGUAGAAAUCGUGUCUCUGGUUAAAAGUAAAGCGCUGUUUAUGUCUCCACGCAGUGUAAAGAUCUCGUUCAGAGGUUCCAUCUUCAGACUUCAAUCUCAAAAUAGAAAGUUGCUCAGAUUUUGGCCAAUUGCGAGAUUGUUGCAAAUUUUUGAGUAAUAGUUACGUUUUAUGUUAGUCAUACAAUGAAAUUAGGAAAGUUGUAAAUAUAUAUCAUUUUUGAUAAAAUUGCGAAUAUUUAAAAAUUAGUUGCAAGAAACGAAUGUUAGAUAUAUUCACAAUAAAACUGUUUUUCUAAGGCCUAAUUCAUAUCUACUGUAUCGUUAUUCUCUAUGGCAAUUUCCAGAAUGAUUGAGAAAGUGAAUAAAUAAGGAACUCUUCUACUUUGUUUGCUCCACCUCUCCAAUCUAGCUUAGUGACUUCUUUCUAUAAUAUCCCUGCCCUGAUCUCUAACCCAAGAUAUUACUGCGACGGAAGUAGAAAAACGUGAGAUAGGAAAAGUGAUGAAGUGCAAAAGGUUUUUCCAAGAUUCGAUUCAUGAGUUCAGAAGACUAUCUCUUAGCCAACCUAACUAAGCAAGGAUAGACAAGAAAAUUACACGUUUUGGGUCCUACUGUCGUAUAGACCUUGAACACAACAGGAAGUUCCGGUUUUUCUGUCAGACUUUUGGAUAUCCGGUUGUUUCGUUUGAUAUGUUGCAUCGUAUUGGAAACCCGUAUCCAGCUCAAUAGGGGAUCGCACAAAAGGUCAAGAUCCUCCUGUCUACCUCGCUCGAGCUUAUUCCAGUCACCUACUGAGAUGCCGUAAAAAUACUUAAAUCCUUUUUACCCAACCUCACUAACUGCGUAGCUUUAUUAGUCCUUGAUUUAUCCUUGAGGGUGCGUCAAAACAUGUUACAGACUCCUAGAUAUUCAAAACUGCAAACAUGUCUUCCGAAAACAGUAGCUUUUCUAAUUUAGGAAAUUCCAAUUAACCCAGAUUAAUGGAGGCCAAAAUUUCUCUCGUUUGGCUUUCCAUUAUCGUACAUUUUAAUGGCGUUUAAUCGUAAAACGAAUACUUACAAAAAUCGAACACCAUUCUCCCUUUAAGGCAUCUUAUAAAAAUUCAAAAAUUGGCAUGAAAUCUUUUUUCUAUCCCUUUUUAACAUGCUGAACUGGUCGCAACAAUUUCGUAUUUAAAGACAGUUUAAAUAAAUUCUCUUUGAACAAUACACAAAAUUAUAUUCGGACCUUCCACAACGCUGCUUCCCGUUCCCAUUAAUUUUUCUUAUCCAAAAAAAUGUUAUAUAUGUAAAAAUCCAAAAUGCGAUAUGCAAAACAGUGACCAAAAAUUGGUUUAUAUUAACUACACCCCCUAUUUAAUGUUUUUUUUGCGCGGGUUCUGCAUACAAAUAAAUUCGUGCAUGGCAUUAAUUUGGUUUGCGCGACCCAUACCAAUAGAAAUUCUGGAAAGAAAGAAACACAAAUUUCUUUGUAUGACGAUAAUGUACUCAUCUCUUUGCCAUCUGGAAAGUUUCCAGUUUCCAACGAAAUCUCUCCAUUCACUUGUAAAAGUAAAGGACGAUGCCACCUUGUUAUCGAUCCUUUGCCAUUUCACCCAAGAAUUUAAUUUACGCAUUUUGAAUAAAUAUACGUUUACACUCCAUUUGUCAUGAUAAAAGGCCUAUCUGUUGAAUAGCAAUACUAAAAGAUUUCUGUCUGUUGAGCAAUAAUUAUUGUUGG
Molecule: long non-coding RNA, 2388 nt
Filed under: Androctonus crassicauda
Lineage: Eukaryota; Metazoa; Arthropoda; Arachnida; Scorpiones; Buthidae
Source: RNAcentral